Molecule: transfer RNA, 100 nt
Filed under: Thaumarchaeota archaeon RBG_16_49_8
Lineage: Archaea; Thermoproteati; Nitrososphaerota
Also listed under: 1 other name
Description: tRNA-Gln
Rfam family: tRNA (bases 41-97)
About the family: Transfer RNA (tRNA) molecules are approximately 80 nucleotides in length. Their secondary structure includes four short double-helical elements and three loops (D, anti-codon, and T loops).
Source: RNAcentral
AGCCCGGUCGUCUAGCGGCCAAACUUCACCAGAGAAAUAGGGCUAGGGAUACCAGGCUCUGGACCUGGUGACGCCAGUUCGAAUCUGGCCCGGGCUACCA